RNAcentral lists this small RNA (103 nucleotides) under Streptococcus pneumoniae GA47901. RNAcentral describes it as "Streptococcus sRNA SpF41". It matches the Rfam family "Streptococcus sRNA SpF41". Lineage: Bacteria; Bacillati; Bacillota; Bacilli; Lactobacillales; Streptococcaceae. The record is from Rfam by way of RNAcentral.
AAAGCACAAUGAGUAGUAUAUAGGGAUUGCACCUUAAUUGAGGAGAUUCCGGUUCGAAUCCGGGCUAUUGUGCUAGCAUCUAGGAAACUAGGUGCUUUUUGUU